RNAcentral lists this transfer RNA (72 nucleotides) under Gongylonema pulchrum. It matches the Rfam family "tRNA". Rfam says of the family: Transfer RNA (tRNA) molecules are approximately 80 nucleotides in length. Lineage: Eukaryota; Metazoa; Nematoda; Chromadorea; Rhabditida; Gongylonematidae. The record is from Rfam by way of RNAcentral.
GAACCGGUGGUGUAGUGGGUAACACGUUGCAUUUGAAUGUGAAGAGGAAUGGUUCGAUUCCUUCCCGGGCCC